UGAGGAAUAUUGGUCAAUGGGCGAGAGCCUGAACCAGCCAAGUAGCGCGCAGGAUGACGGCCCUAUGGGUUGUAAACUGCUUUUAUAUGGGAAUAAAGUGAGGGACGUGUCCCUUAUUGCAUGUACCAUACGAAUAAGGACCGGCUAAUUCCGUGCCAGCAGCCGCGGUAAUACGGAAGGUCCAGGCGUUAUCCGGAUUUAUUGGGUUUAAAGGGAGCGUAGGCUGUUUGUUAAGCGUGUUGUGAAAUGUAAGAGCUCAACUUUUAGAUUGCAGCGCGAACUGGCAGACUUGAGUGCGCACAACGUAGGCGGAAUUCAUGGUGUAGCGGUGAAAUGCUUAGAUAUCAUGACGAACUCCGAUUGCGAAGGCAGCUUACGGGAGCGCAACUGACGCUAAAGCUCGAAGGUGCGGGUAUCGAACAGG
This 424-nucleotide ribosomal RNA is filed under the name Verrucomicrobiota bacterium. RNAcentral describes it as "Verrucomicrobia bacterium partial 16S ribosomal RNA". It matches the Rfam family "Bacterial small subunit ribosomal RNA", at positions 355 to 776 of the family's 1533-position model. The record is from RNAcentral. Lineage: Bacteria; Pseudomonadati; Verrucomicrobiota.